UUCGGGUUGUAAAGUACUUUCAGCAGUGAGGAAGGUGGGUAUGUUAAUAGCAUAUUCAUUUGACGUUAGCUGCAGAAGAAGCACCGGCUAACUCCGUGCCAGCAGCCGCGGUAAUACGGAGGGUGCGAGCGUUAAUCGGAAUUACUGGGCGUAAAGCGCAUGCAGGUGGUUGUUAAGUCAGAUGUGAAAGCCCGGGGCUCAACCUCGGAAUUGCAUUUGAAACUGGCAAACUAGAGUACUGUAGAGGGGGUAGAAUUUCAGGUGUAGCGGUGAAAUGCGUAGAGAUCUGAAGGAAUACCGGUGGCGAAGGCGGCCCCCUGGACAGAUACUGACACUCAGAUGCGAAAGCGUGGGGAGCAAACAGGAUUAGAUACCCUGGUAG
Molecule: ribosomal RNA, 382 nt
Filed under: uncultured bacterium
Lineage: Bacteria
Description: bacterial SSU rRNA
Rfam family: Bacterial small subunit ribosomal RNA
Source: RNAcentral